RNAcentral lists this ribosomal RNA (484 nucleotides) under uncultured bacterium. RNAcentral's name for it is "partial 16S ribosomal RNA". It matches the Rfam family "Bacterial small subunit ribosomal RNA", at positions 30 to 507 of the family's 1533-position model. The record is from RNAcentral.
AUUGAACGCUGGCGGCAGGCCUAACACAUGCAAGUCGAGCGGAUGAAGGGAGCUUGCUCCUGGAUUCAGCGGCGGACGGGUGAGUAAUGCCUAGGAAUCUGCCUGGUAGUGUGGGAUAACGUCCGGAAACGGGCGCUAAUACCGCAUACGUCCUGAGGGAGAAAGGGGGGGAUCUUCGGACCUCACGCUAUCAGAUGAGCCUAUGUCGGAUUAGCUAGUUGGUGGGGUAAAGGCCUACCAAGGCGACGAUCCGUAACUGGUCUGAGAGGAUGAUCAGUCACACUGGAACUGAGACACGGUCCAGACUCCUACGGGAGGCAGCAGUGGGGAAUAUUGGACAAUGGGCGAAAGCCUGAUCCAGCCAUGCCGCGUGUGUGAAGAAGGUCUUCGGAUUGUAAAGCACUUUAAGUUGGGAGGAAGGGCAGUAAGUUAAUACCUUGCUGUUUUGACGUUACCAACAGAAUAAGCACCGGCUAACUUCGUG